UGGCGGCAUGGAUUAGGCAUGCAAGUCGAACGGAGAAGCAGGUGCUUGCACCUGUGGAUUAGUGGCGAAAGGGUGAGUAACGCGUGAGUAAUCUGCCCCUAAGUUGGGAAUAGCCUCGGGAAACUGGGAUUAAUACCGAAUGUGGUCCCCGUCGCAUGACGGAAAGUUUAAAGAUUUAUCGCUUAGAGAUGAGCUCGCGUCCCAUUAGCUAGUUGGUGGGGUAACGGCCUACCAAGGCACCGAUGGGUAGCUGGUCUGAGAGGAUGAUCAGCCACACUGGGACUGAGACACUGCCCAGACUCCUACGGGAGGCUGCAGUCGAGAAUCUUCCGCAAUGGGCGAAAGCCUGACGGAGCAAUGCCGCGUGCAGGAUGAAGGCCUUAGGGUUGUAAACUGCUGUCACCGGGGACGAAAUUUGACGGUACCCGGAGAGGAAGCACCGGCUAACUACGUGCCAGCAGCCGCGGUAAUACGUAGGGUGCAAGCGUUGUUCGGAUUUAUUGGGCGUAAAGGGUCCGCAGGGGGUUUACUAAGUCUGAUGUGAAAUCCCGUGGCUCAACCACGGAACUGCAUUGGAAACUGGUAAACUAGAGUACUGGAGAGGUAAACGGAAUUCCUGGUGUAGCGGUGGAAUGCGUAGAUAUCAGGAAGAACACCGAAAGCGAAGGCGGCUCUCUGGAAUGUUACUGACGCUGAGGCACGAAAGCUGGGGGAGCAAACAGGAUUAGAUACCCUGGCAUUCCCAGCCGGAAACGGUGUCGACUUGGUGUGGGGGGAAUUGACCCCCUCCGUGCCGGAGCUAACGCGAUAAGUCGACCGCCUGGGGAGUACGACCGCAAGGUUAAAACUCAAAGAAAUUGACGGGGGCCCGCACAAGCGGAGGAGCAUGUGGCUUAAUUCGAUGCAACGCGAAGAACCUUACCCAGACUUGACAUAUAACUGCACGUCCUAUGAAAGUAGGAUUUCUUCGAGAGUGUUAUACAGGUGCUGCAUGGCUGUCGUCAGUUCGUGCCGUGAGGUGUUUGGUUAAGUCCAGCAACGAACGCAACCCUUGUGACUAGUUGCCACCGUAGGUGAUGAGCCUACGAGCACUCUAGUCAGACUGCCCUUGCAAGAGGGAGGAAGGUGGGGAUGACGUCAAGUCAGUAUGGCCCUUACGUCUGGGGCUGCACACGUGCUACAAUGGCCGGUACAGAAGGCUGCAAUACCGCGAGGUGGAGCUAAUCCCUAAAACCGGCCCCAGUUCGGAUUGGAGUCUGCAACUCGACUCCAUGAAGUUGGAUUCGCUAGUAACGGCGUAUCAGCUACGACGCCGUGAAUACGUUCCCGGGCCUUGUACACACCGCCCGUCACAUCAUGAAAGCCGUCUGCACCCGAAGUCGUUGAUCUAACCAUUUAUGGAGGAAGGCGCCGAAGGUGUGG
This 1422-nucleotide ribosomal RNA is filed under the name uncultured prokaryote. Its description in RNAcentral is "partial 16S ribosomal RNA". It matches the Rfam family "Bacterial small subunit ribosomal RNA". The record is from RNAcentral.